AAUGAACGUUGGCGGCGUGGAUUAGGCAUGCAAGUCGAGCGGAAAGGCCCGCAAGGGCACUCGAGCGGCGUAAGGGACAGUAAUGUGUAGGUAACGUACCCCUGGGUCUAGGAUAGCUGCGGGAAACUGCAAUUAAUACUAGAUAACGUCUCCGGACCAAAGGUGUGAUUCCACCUGGGGAGCGGCCUACAUCCUAUUAGCUAGUUGGCGAGGUAAUGGCUCACCAAGGCGAAGAUGGGUAGCAGGUGUGAGAGCACGACCUGCGUCACUGGGACUGAGACACUGCCCAGACACCUACGGGUGGCUGCAGUCGAGAAUCUUCGGCAAUGGGCGAAAGCCUGACCGAGCGACGCCGCGUGUGGGAUGAAGGCCUGGUUGUAACCACUGUCGGAGGGAUGAAGUGUAGUGGUACUCCCAUUAACUUGACUGAUCC
RNAcentral lists this ribosomal RNA (433 nucleotides) under uncultured bacterium. RNAcentral's name for it is "bacterial SSU rRNA". It matches the Rfam family "Bacterial small subunit ribosomal RNA", at positions 29 to 479 of the family's 1533-position model. The record is from RNAcentral.